RNAcentral lists this transfer RNA (71 nucleotides) under Pelomedusa subrufa. RNAcentral describes it as "tRNA-Tyr". It matches the Rfam family "tRNA". Rfam says of the family: Transfer RNA (tRNA) molecules are approximately 80 nucleotides in length. Lineage: Eukaryota; Metazoa; Chordata; Testudines; Pelomedusidae. The record is from RNAcentral.
AGUGAGAUGACCGAGUGUUCAGGUGUUAGGUUGUAAACCUUUUUAUAGAGGUUUAAUCCCUCUUCUUACUA